GUCGGGAACAGAUAUAAAAUUCAACAAAAAUAAAAGUAUUAAAAAAUAUAAAAAUUUGAAUGAAAAUAGUGAGUGAAAUACAAAACUAAAAGUAACACGGGGAAUUCGUAAAUAAAAUUAAUUUAUUCCGAUCAGAAUAUAAACCGAAUUCCGAAAACAUCAACUAAGAGGGUAAAAGCUACUUUGAAUCAAUGGAUAGCACAGAUUUCUAGACAGAGGCAUUCAAAAGUGAUACAGAUAGAACCCUCAAACGACACACGACACAUUCACGUUGCCAUCUCUAGACUCCAUCUCUCCGCUCCGAAGAGACCUGCUGCUGCUGCUGUUGCUGCUGACACAACCCAAAACCAAAAACCAAACCGAACUGCCCCAUCAACGACAACAUCUUAAGCUCAUUUGUCACAUAAAAAUCAUAUAUAUGUAAUUUGCUUGACAUCCAAAAGUGGACACCGAACGUCACGCGCCGCCUGUUGGUGCAGCAGCCGCAAAACGCCUCCAUAUCGGUGUAGGCUUUUCUCGGCCCAGAGAGAAAGAAAGAGCUACAGAUGGUGGAUGGUGGAUGGAGGAUGGAGCACUCACGUACGUACGUAUGAUGGGAUCCAGAGUUGUUGCAUGCAUUUGGCUGGUGGUGUCAGUGUCGUCGUUGAGUAAGCGUUUCCUUAAAUUAGCUGCACUUUGGAUGCACCAUUAUAUGCCGGAGACCACUUGAUGCCACCAUCGUCUUCUUGGACGCACGGACAUCGUCAUCAUGGCCAUUUUUGGGUGGGCAUUAAGUGCCACAGCGCUUUUUUGAUGGAGUGUUGAUGCCACAACAGAGGUCGAGUUUUGUUCAGAUUUAUGGUCUGUUCACUCUCCUCAGAUGUUCCUGCAUUUUCAGUCCGUGCAUCCGGUUCUCACACAUGAGGGGGUAAUAGGAAUACCUUCGUUAGAACCGUUUAAGCAAAACGAAACGACACUUCAAAGCUGUGGAUGUGGCUGGGGCUUCUACGCUAAAUGGAAAAGCCCUCAACAGCUUAGGCAAACAUUUGCAAUUACAAUUUUAGCAUAUAAUUGCAAACAUGAUAAACACUUUUAUCUGCGGCUGCUCCACCGACUGCGACUCCGACUGAGUGCAUCUGCUGCAUGGCCUCGUCGCAGCGAAACGAUCCACAGGACCAGUCUGUCCACAAAGAACGAAGAGCGUAGAGAUCUGGUAGCAGCAGCAGCAGGUCGAAGCCUCCAAGAAGCUGCCAAGAAGAAGCGUGUCGCCAAUUGAUCGUGAGUUUUACCUAGAAAAAUGUCGCGACAAUUCUGCCCCGCAAAAAGGAAAAACCUCAACGCAAAACGAACAAAAGGCAAAGCGAAGAAGGGGCCAGCAUCCCCACACAAGAGAUGAGAAUUUAGCUGGGAAUUUUUAGAUCAAGAUUCAAGAUUUUAGAAGGAUUUUUGGUACCAAUUUUGAUAAUUUAUCCACAGAAAAGUUGAAACCGAGGAGACAUACAAAUUCAACCGAGGAGACAUACAAGUAGG
Molecule: long non-coding RNA, 1509 nt
Organism: Drosophila pseudoobscura
Lineage: Eukaryota; Metazoa; Arthropoda; Insecta; Diptera; Drosophilidae
Exons: 4
Source: RefSeq, a predicted model, not a curated record